CAGCCGCCGCGGUAAUACAGAGGGUGCGAGCGUUAAUCGGAUUUACUGGGCGUAAAGCGUGCGUAGGCGGCUUCUUAAGUCGGAUGUGAAAUCCCUGAGCUUAACUUAGGAAUUGCAUUCGAUACUGGGAAGCUAGAGUAUGGGAGAGGAUGGUAGAAUUCCAGGUGUAGCGGUGAAAUGCGUAGAGAUUUGGAGGAAUACCGAUGGCGAAGGCAGCCAUCUGGCCUAAUACUGACGCUGAGGUACGAAAGCAUGGGGAGCAAACAGGAUUAGAUACCCGAGUAGUCCCUGUCUCUUAUAA
RNAcentral lists this ribosomal RNA (301 nucleotides) under uncultured bacterium. RNAcentral describes it as "partial 16S ribosomal RNA". It matches the Rfam family "Bacterial small subunit ribosomal RNA", at positions 509 to 809 of the family's 1533-position model. The record is from RNAcentral.